GUGAGGAAUAUUGCGCAAUGGAGGCAACUCUGACGCAGCCAUGCCGCGUGCAGGAAGAAGGCGCUACGCGUUGUAAACUGCUUUUAACCGGGAAGAAACCCCAGGACGUGUCCUGGGUUGACGGUACCGGAGGAAUAAGCACCGGCUAACUUCGUGCCAGCAGCCGCGGUAAUACGAAGGGUGCAAGCGUUAUCCGGAUUCAUUGGGUUUAAAGGGUGCGUAGGCGGAGCGUUAAGUCAGUGGUGAAAUCCUGCAGCUUAACUGUAGACUUGCCAUUGAUACUGGCGUUCUUGAGUGCGCUUGAAGUGGGCGGAAUGUGCCGUGUAGCGGUGAAAUGCUUAGAUAUGGCACAGAACACCAAUUGCGAAGGCAGCUCACUAAGGCGAUACUGACGCUGAGGCACGAAAGCGUGGGGAUCGAACAGGAUUAGAAACCCCGGUAGUCC
RNAcentral lists this ribosomal RNA (445 nucleotides) under uncultured bacterium. Its description in RNAcentral is "partial 16S ribosomal RNA". It matches the Rfam family "Bacterial small subunit ribosomal RNA", at positions 354 to 796 of the family's 1533-position model. The record is from RNAcentral.